RNAcentral lists this long non-coding RNA (1672 nucleotides) under Malus domestica (apple). RNAcentral describes it as "long non-coding RNA (MDOM_LNC020399)". Lineage: Eukaryota; Viridiplantae; Streptophyta; Magnoliopsida; Rosales; Rosaceae. The record is from RNAcentral.
GAUUACAUCCAGUUGUGAUUCAUAAGUUGUGAAUUCAAUUUACUUAUCCGUUCAUAUAAAAACUGAUUUGUGUAUGUUGGUUGAGAGUGCACGCUUAAUUUUCAUGCAUGAAUUUGACGCUAGAAUAUAAGGGAGUUUCACCUAAUUGUUAUGAACUUAUAUUCACAAGUAGUGAAGGUUGCUAGUCACAAUCACGUUAAGUAAAUUCUUGGCAUAAGUUUCAUGCAAAUCAUAGUAACGAGUGCCUCGUCAAUGCUUAUGUUUUUCAUAAAACUUAAUGAUUCUUGCUUGUAUCUCUAUUAUGCAAUUCAUGUAGGGAACUUGUAGGGAAUGUUUUGGGUUGUCGUAUGCAAUCAUCCAACCCAAUAACUUGUGGAAAAACUGAGGGUUAAUUAGUGCAAUUCACGGUUAAUUUGGGCCGUUGAGUAUUCAUAGUUUAUCGAAAAGCAACUGAAAAUCGUUUUGUAUGCAAGUGUGACAUGUGUGGAGAAGAACCUCCUAGCUAGCCUUCCAUCCAUAAGUUUCAUUCAAAUUCAUUUACAAUCUGUUUUGUUUUACAAGUUUGUUUUGUUUUCAAAUUCGUCAAGAACCAAUCUCCCAUUUAUUUCAAAGUGUUAGAUUAGUUAGUAAUCACUUUAGUUUGUGUUUUUAAGUGUCUUGAGUCAAGUCAUAACCCAAUUUCGUCCAAUUUAGUGUUAGGUGUUCAAAACUGCCCAGAAAGUGUUUUUAAGGCAGUUUUGAGUGUUUAUUUGCUGUUUUGAAUCUUUUUGUUUAUCUUAGUAUUUUAAAGUAUAGUUUUGCAUUCUUUGAGUGUAGUUUAGUGUUGUAAACUUUGUUUUUACGUUUUCAAGUCAGUUUCCAAGUGAUUUAGCAAUCCCUCCUAAUCCCGGGCCUAGAACGAUCCCUACUUACAUACUUUACUACAUUUGAUAAAAAGAGGGUUUAAUUUGUGUGUUAAGUUAAUUUUCGCAUCAAUAUCGCGUCAAAACGGUAGAUUAAAUAAACACUUAUGAGUUAAUAUUAUACUUCCAUUAACUAGUGUAAAUAUUUUAAAUUGAAGAUCAAAUUUAUUCAUUGCAUUCUUAUAGGGUUGAGGAGUAUAGCUGCAAAAAAUCAUUAAAAUCAAAGCUAAAAUAACUGUUAAAUUAUAAUUUUUCAUUUAUAACCGUCGAAAAAAAUCAUUUAUAUAUGUUAAAUCAGAGCUAAAAUCUUUGAAUGUUUGUUUUUUACAAUUUUUUACGUAUGCAAUCUCGGAGUGUGUACAAAUAAGUUUUAUGGUUGGAUCGUUGAAAAAAGUUUCGUAGAAUGCAUAUCGCAUCAAAACGGUAGAUUAAACAAACACUUAGAGUUAAUAUUAUACUUCCAUCAAGUAUAAAGUAAGAUUAGUGUAAAUAUUUUAAAUUGAAGAUCAAAUUUAUUCAUUGCAUUCUUAUAGGAUCGAGGAGUGUAGCUGUAAAAAAUCAUUGAAAUCGGAGCUAAGAUAACCGUUAAAUUGUGAUUUUUCGUUUAUAACCGUUGAAAACUUUUGUUCUGUUACGUAAUCUCUGAAUGUUUAUUUUUACAAUUUUUUUACGUAUGCAAUCUUGGAGUGUGUACAAAUAAGUUUGACGAUUGGAUCGUUGAAAAAAGUUUUGUAGAAUUCUUGGAUGCACUUGCUACCCAAGUUGGAGCA